RNAcentral lists this long non-coding RNA (240 nucleotides) under Olea europaea (common olive). RNAcentral describes it as "long non-coding RNA (OEUR_LNC010115)". Lineage: Eukaryota; Viridiplantae; Streptophyta; Magnoliopsida; Lamiales; Oleaceae. The record is from RNAcentral.
CUCCUUCACUCUUCGUAUGUCGGUGCAAUGCAGUGUUGCUUUGCUACUUACAGCGAAGUGUCUUUGAAGCGGUGAUCCCUCUAUUUUGAUGGUUAUUUGAUUGGUGGUGGAGAUGGUUGCUGUGUUGGCAAUGGUUUCAAUGUUUUGGGGUUGCAAUUUUUGUUUGUAGUUUUUGGUAGUGGUGGUGAACCUGGCAAUGGCGAUGGUAGCUCUUAUUUUGGAUCAAGUUUUGUGGUGGUU